CGGUCUAGCUCCUGGCUCCGGCUAGGGAGUGCCUGCCAGAGGACCCUAAAACCUGAAUGUUAGUGUCGUCUGAGUACUAUACAAUAGUUAAAACUUUCAACAACGGAUCUCUUGGUUCUGGCAUCGAUGAAGAACGCAGCGAAAUGCGAUAAGUAAUGUGAAUUGCAGAAUUCAGUGAAUCAUCGAAUCUUUGAACGCACAUUGCGCCCCUUGGUAUUCCGGGGGGCAUGCCUGUUCGAGCGUCAUUACAACCCUCAAGCUCUGCUUGGUGUUGGGCGUCACCAGCCUUGGUGUGCCCUAAAAUCAGUGGCGGCGCCGUCUGGCUCUAAGCGUAGUACAUACUCUCGCUAUGGACGCCUGGCGGAUGCUUGCCAGCAAACCCCUAAUUUAUCAAGGUUGACCUCGGAUCAGGUAGGGAUACCCGCUGAACUUAAGCAUAUCAAUAAGCGGAGGAANNUUAUUACAGAAAUUUUUGCCCUUGGGGGGAAACCCCCCAAGGAAAUUCCACUUUUGAU
Molecule: ribosomal RNA, 515 nt
Filed under: fungal sp. 180A TTMM-2011
Lineage: Eukaryota; Fungi
Description: eukaryotic LSU rRNA
Rfam family: 5.8S ribosomal RNA (bases 92-245)
Source: RNAcentral